UACGGGGGGGGGUAAGCGUUGUUCGGAAUUACUGGGCGUAAAGGGCGCGUAGGCGGGCGAUCAAGUCGGUGGUGAAAUCCUACAGCUUAACUGUAGAACUGCCUCCGAUACUGGUUGUCUCGAGGAAGGUAGGGGCGUGCGGAACAGUUGGUGGAGCGGUGAAAUGCGUUGAUAUCAACUGGAACUCCGGUGGCGAAGGCGGCACGCUGGACCUUUUCUGACGCUGAGGCGCGAAAGCCAGGGGAGCAAACGGG
Molecule: ribosomal RNA, 254 nt
Filed under: uncultured bacterium
Lineage: Bacteria
Description: partial 16S ribosomal RNA
Rfam family: Bacterial small subunit ribosomal RNA
Source: RNAcentral